This 440-nucleotide ribosomal RNA is filed under the name uncultured bacterium. RNAcentral describes it as "partial 16S ribosomal RNA". It matches the Rfam family "Bacterial small subunit ribosomal RNA", at positions 338 to 795 of the family's 1533-position model. The record is from RNAcentral.
CCUACGGGCGGCAGCAGUGGGGGAUAUUGCACAAUGGGGGGAACCCUGAUGCAGCGACGCCGCGUGGGUGAAGAAGCGCCUCGGCGCGUAAAGCCCUGUCAGCAGGGAAGAAAAUGACGGUACCUGAAGAAGAAGCCCCGUCUAACUACGUGCCAGCCGCCGCGGUAACACGUAGGGGGCCAGCGUUAUCCGGAUUUACUGGGUGUAAAGGGGGCGCAGGCGGCGAUGCAAGCCAGGAGUGAAAGACCGGGGCCCAACCCCGGGACUGCGCUUGGAACUGCGUGGCUGGAGUGCUGGAGGGGGAGGCGGAAUUCGUGGUGUAGCGGUGAAAUGCGUAGAUAUCAGGAGGAACACCGGUGGCGAAGGCGGCCUGCUGGACUGCAACUGACGUUGAGGCCCGAAAGCGUGGGGAGCGAACAGGAUUAGAUACCCCAGUAGUC